GCUAGUAAUGGCAGGUCAGCAUACUGCCGUGAAUACGUUCCCGGGCCUUGUACACACCGCCCGUCACACCAUGAGAGUUGGGGAUACCCGAAGCCUGUGAGCUAACUUUUAGAGGCAGCAGUCGAAGGUAGAAUCAAUGAUUGGGGUGAAGUCGUAACAAGGUACC
Molecule: ribosomal RNA, 166 nt
Filed under: uncultured bacterium
Lineage: Bacteria
Description: partial 16S ribosomal RNA
Rfam family: Bacterial small subunit ribosomal RNA
Source: RNAcentral